Molecule: unclassified non-coding RNA, 203 nt
Filed under: Hevea brasiliensis (rubber tree)
Lineage: Eukaryota; Viridiplantae; Streptophyta; Magnoliopsida; Malpighiales; Euphorbiaceae
Source: RNAcentral
AGGAAACAGGACGCAAUCCUCUAAAGGCUUUGCAACAUUUGUAUCAGUCCCUGGCAUCUCACUUGAAAAUGAUCUCGAACGUUUCAAACACUUCUUUUCACCCGAAUUUAUUGAUUGCAUUACAGAUUAAGUCAUCCACAGUUCACACAUUGAUCCAAUCAAUCUCACAAUUCUGAAAGUGGAAAUCCUAUCGGCACUUUUUU